AAGGAAAGAUUGCUCAAAGUAGCAUCCAAGUUUGAUAUAUUACAUCAACAACGUAAAGAGCCUUCAAGAACAGUUGGGAACGAUGAUAGAUUGGGCUAGAUCUUUCGUCUCGCGAUCCGUACGGUCUUAGGUGAUUCGUUUUUC
Molecule: long non-coding RNA, 144 nt
Organism: Gossypium arboreum
Lineage: Eukaryota; Viridiplantae; Streptophyta; Magnoliopsida; Malvales; Malvaceae
Exons: 3
Source: RefSeq, a predicted model, not a curated record